AAGUCGUAACAAGGUUUCCGUAGGUGAACCUGCGGAAGGAUCAUUAUUGAAAUAAACCUGAUGGGUUGUUGCUGGUUCUCUAGGGAGCAUGUGCACACCUUGUCAUCUUUAUAUCUCCACCUGUGCACUUUUUGUAGACCUUUCAGGUCUAUGUUGCUUCAUUUACCCCAAUGUAUGUUAAUAGAAUGUUGUGCCUAUAUAAUAUAUACAACUUUCAGCAACGGAUCUCUUGGCUCUCGCAUCGAUGAAGAACGCAGCGAAAUGCGAUAAGUAAUGUGAAUUGCAGAAUUCAGUGAAUCAUCGAAUCUUUGGACGCACCUUGCGCUCCUUGGUAUUCCGAGGAGCAUGCCUGUUUGAGUGUCAUUAAUAUAUAUCAACCUUCUCCUUGUUGGAGAGGUGUUUGGAUGUGGGGGUUUGCUGGCCUCUUAAAAAGAUUCAGCUCCUCUGAAAUGCAUUAGCAGAACAACCCGUUCAUUGGCGUGAUAACUAUCUACGCUAUUGAAUGCGAUGGGGCAGUUCAGCUUUCUAACAGUCUUUGGACAAUUCAUCAUUAAUGUGACCUCAAAUCAGGUAGGACUACCCGCUGAACUUAA
This 593-nucleotide ribosomal RNA is filed under the name uncultured Cortinarius. RNAcentral's name for it is "eukaryotic LSU rRNA". The stretch from base 210 to 363 matches the Rfam family "5.8S ribosomal RNA". Lineage: Eukaryota; Fungi; Basidiomycota; Agaricomycetes; Agaricales; Cortinariaceae. The record is from RNAcentral.